GACGAACGCUGGCGGCGUGCUUAACACAUGCAAGUCGAACGGAAAGGCCCUGCUUUUGUGGGGUGCUCGAGUGGCGAACGGGUGAGUAACACGUGAGUAACCUGCCCUUUACUUUGGGAUAACUUCAGGAAACUGGGGCUAAUACCGGAUAGGAGCUCCUGCUGCAUGGUGGGUGUUGGAAAGUUUCGGCGGUUGGGGAUGGACUCGCGGCUUAUCAGCUUGUUGGUGGGGUAGUGGCUUACCAAGGCUUUGACGGGUAGCCGGCCUGAGAGGGUGACCGGCCCCAUUGGGACUGAGAUACGGCCCAGACUCAUACGGGAGGCAGCAGUGGGGAAUAUUGCACAAUGGGCGGAAGCCUGAUGCAGCAACGCCGCGUGCGGGAUGACGGCCUUCGGGUUGUAAACCGCUUUCGCCUGUGACGAAGCGUGAGUGACGGUAAUGGGUAAAGAAGCACCGGCUAACUACGUG
This 468-nucleotide ribosomal RNA is filed under the name uncultured bacterium. RNAcentral describes it as "partial 16S ribosomal RNA". It matches the Rfam family "Bacterial small subunit ribosomal RNA", at positions 28 to 507 of the family's 1533-position model. The record is from RNAcentral.